GAGAGCUGCAGUUUGUGGGCUGUGCUGUGAAGAGAGAUGGAGUUUGUUAGCUGUGCUGUGAGGAGAUGCCCAUAAGGAAUCACUAAGAAGGGAUCAGACCAUUGAAUCAGGGAACUGGGGAGCUUCCUUCCAAUGUGGAUUUACUCUUCCCUCACAUCCUUCAUGGGUACUUAGGAUACGCCAGUCAAGAGCACAAGCUUCAGGUUGAGUUUUGACUGCUCCAGACUUUGGGCAAGGAAACAGUUUUGUUCAAGAGCAAAGUAAGGUGAUUUGUUUGAAGAGCACCACUUCAGUGACUACAGAUGACUGUGCUGUACUGAAAGGCCUCCCUGUUGCAUCAGAGCAGUGAGCAGCAGGUUCAAACAGUCCUGGCUCAGAGAACCUUCUUGCACAGUUCUGAACUGCUCCUCCCCACAGCUGAAUUUUCUGGGGAAGUUAUUUGCUCAAAUGCUAAUCUAGCCUUGACCAGUUCACCAGUUCUGGUGGAUUGCUGCACAGGAUGGCAUGGCUGGAGGCUAUUGUCAAGCAGAAGUUUUCCACUCUUCCCUCUAUCCUUGUGUAAGGUGAAAGUUGUAUGGGGAGCCUUUUCAUUGAGGUUAUUUGUUCCUACCUGAUCUCCACCAAUAAAGCUGUGCCAGCUGUGUCAUGUGAGUGG
This is a non-coding RNA of Zonotrichia albicollis (white-throated sparrow), 655 nucleotides long. NCBI's taxonomy places the organism in Eukaryota, Metazoa, Chordata, Aves, Passeriformes, Passerellidae. The record is from RefSeq and is a predicted model, not a curated record.